UCCCCGAGCGGGCCGGUGCUCCCGGCCGGCAGCGCCUGCCGUGUGCUGGUGGCCCACGGGUUCCAGGCCGGCGCCGGGAA
Molecule: transfer RNA, 80 nt
Filed under: Actinoplanes xinjiangensis
Lineage: Bacteria; Bacillati; Actinomycetota; Actinomycetes; Micromonosporales; Micromonosporaceae
Description: tRNA-Gly
Source: RNAcentral